This 298-nucleotide long non-coding RNA is filed under the name Brassica napus (rape). RNAcentral's name for it is "long non-coding RNA (BNAP_LNC001845)". Lineage: Eukaryota; Viridiplantae; Streptophyta; Magnoliopsida; Brassicales; Brassicaceae. The record is from RNAcentral.
UAUAAACAAAAAGAAUGUUCAUGAUGCAAUCUUUCUUAUGACGCUACAAGGACACAAACAUAAUGAUUAAUUGUAAUGAUCACUGAUUUAGUGAGUCAUCGUUAUAGCGAAGAUUAGACAACAUGGACAACCUUUUUAUAUUGUGAAUUAGUUUGGUUUAACCCAACGACUAAUCAUCAUUUGCCAAGCUGUCAGCCUCCUUAAUUUUUGUCUUAUCACUUUCUCUAUUGUCUUGUUACUUAUCAUCACUCAAAUUUGUUAUUUAUUUCUCUCAUUAAACACCACUAUUAUAUACUUG